AGCUUCUGUUCUCUCCGACGAAACCCGAGCGUUUCCGAUCUUCUCCGAUCUCGUGCACUCGUCUCUCUGCUGCUGCUGCUGCCAAUUUAUCGCGUGUGCUCGCAUCUUCAGAGUCCAUCCCUGAUAGUAUUUCCAUCAUGACGGACAUACUGGUGUUGAUGUUCUUCGCCAUCAUGGGCCUGGUCUUCCUCUCCUACAUCAUCUACAUGCUGUGAUGACGAUGAGGAGGGGUCCUGUUCAGCCGCGCGGACGGCCGGUGCUGCGUGUUGUUCCUUUCCUGUAUCCCUGAUCUCCGAUACGGACAAUGGGACCUGAGCUGGGCUCGGACCAUGAUGGUUUCCCUUUGGAGCUCUCAGGCAGGAUGGGAAGAGCAACCCAGUGGAGAGGAGAACAAAUGGAGAAGAAGCCAAAACACCUGUCCCCCACUUGCACUGUUUUAAUCCUCCAACACCCACCCUACCUCCUGCUCCAUCGGACUACGGUCCUCUGACACAUUCUCACCCCGAGAGCUCCCACCAGCUCGUACAAUCAGUUUAAUCAGUGUUUUUUUCUCUCUGCUGUUCAAGGUUACGCAUGCACAUGUUCCCCCUGUCAAGGAGAAGGAGUCUUACCUCUGUGGAAGUCCAGUUAAUUUCAAUCAUACUGAUGCAGGGCAGUUUUUUCAGGUCCAGUGUAUUUAAGGUGUCGGUCAGGAUUUGCCUUUUGAGAAGCACUGUGAGAGGCUCGUUCUUUAAUGUGUUUUAGAAUAUAACCUUAACACUUCUGUUGCCAACUUAUCUGUAAACUCAUGUUUGUGGUGGAGAGCUUCAGCCUUGUGUUAAUGUUACUUUAAUCAUGUGUUGCCAACAUGUUUUUCUUCUCACUUUGAUCUGGAUUUCCCAUCAGGUUAAAGCGAAACGUGUCGGAUCAAUAUUAUCAGUAUUAUAUCAUUUGACUGUUGGUCUGUUUAUUUUUUCAUGACUUACAUGAAGAGGAAUGGUGUUAUAUCAGAGAUACUUUGACUGGAUAUGUUAGCUUUACCACUAAACCUCAUAUAGAUGAUGUGUUAUAUUUAAAUAAAGGUACGCUUAUUGAUGCAUGGAUGAUUUACUGAAGUUAUGACAUUAUUUAUAUGAUAUGUCAAAUAAAGAUGAUUUCAAUAAAUCCAGUUUCCUCUC
Notolabrus celidotus (New Zealand spotty) is the source of this 1157-nucleotide long non-coding RNA. RefSeq lists it as uncharacterized. The record is from RefSeq and is a predicted model, not a curated record. NCBI's taxonomy places the organism in Eukaryota, Metazoa, Chordata, Actinopteri, Labriformes, Labridae. The transcript is spliced from 2 exons.